Molecule: long non-coding RNA, 1234 nt
Filed under: Lonchura striata (white-rumped munia)
Lineage: Eukaryota; Metazoa; Chordata; Aves; Passeriformes; Estrildidae
Description: domestica (Bengalese finch) lncRNA (ENSLSDG00000005244.1)
Source: RNAcentral
GCUGCGUCACGGCCCGCCCGGACUGCGCCGGGGGACAGGUUUGAGUGUGGCACCGAGGCACCCGCGCUGUGCCGGGGGACAGAAUUGUGUUGUCAAGUGAAUUGCUGGCAGGAGGCAGACGUGCCUGGCUGGAAGAUUUUCAUGUGGCUGGUGAAUCAGCUCGAAAAUGUAAAAAGAGGUUUUGCUAAUCCACUUAUUGUGCCUUAUGGUGUUCAGCGUGGAAGCUGCAGGGCAGGGACAUUCCUCAGGGCUGGAAUGGCUACUGGAGCACCGGGGGCUGCUCUCACAUGCAGCUCAUUCAAGGAGGUCGUCGUGUUACACCAGUCACGGAACUGCAAUGACAGCUUUUGAUCUAAGCCCUGUCAAAUUCCAGUGAAAUAUGUCUUAGGGGUUGGAUGUGUCCACCUGGCCCAGACUCCUCAUUCUGGGGCUGUUUCAGAACCUGCAGAGAUGCUAUUCUUUUUUGCCAGCUUUUCCUGCCAAUAUAGAGAUGACUCAGAGGCAAAUCCUGAGGACCUUUCUCAGAAAUUUCUGAUUUUCUGCCAUCCCUCAGCUUUUAGCCAUUACUUUAGUCGCAACAAAAGGCAUGAUGGUACUUCAAAAGAAGUAAAGGACAUUUUCCAAAGCACUUACUAAUUCUGAAACAGAAGUGGGACUGCACUGAAAUAUAAUUGAUACACCAAGAAGACUGUUGGGAUUUCUGGGAGAAGCAUCUCUCUUUGGCUCACAGACAUGGUACCAGAUCACCAGCCAUUUAGAAGAGCUUGGAGCCGAACAGCACCACAGGGGAAGAUGCUGUCGCUACCCCCAGGCACACGCAGUGGCUGCAGCCCCUCCCCUCCCCACCUGCCCUCUCUCCUGGUUAUCCCCACGAUGCUGCCUCUCCUGCCGGCAGGAUCAGCUCCGGCCGUGAUGAGUCACUGCUCCGUGUGAGCAAGCCACCAGUGGUGAAGGCAGAAAUGUGGUUUCACGGGUCAUUCCUCUUCCUAUUUUCUCCAGACAUCGAGCUCUCCCCUCGCUGCCCUUCACAGUCCAAGCCGUAAUCCUUUCUGCAGAGCCUGGGAAGCUCCUCCAGCCGCUGCUCCGCGGCUCUGCGGGGCUCGCACCGAGCUGCAGCUCCGUGGCUCUCCGGGACAGGCCUGUCCUGCACACACCCGGCGUGGUGCCAGCACAGCCCCUCUCCUUGGCUGCCGCCUUCCACAGAUUUCUGCAAAGCUGAGCGGGCGGGGCUGUC